CGCGUGAGUGUGAAGGUUUUCGGAUCGUAAAACUCUGUUGUUAGGGAAGAACAAGUACCAGAAGUAACUGCUGGUACCUUGACGGUACCUAACCAGAAAGCCACGGCUAACUACGUGCCAGCAGCCGCGGUAAUACGUAGGUGGCAAGCGUUGUCCGGAAUUAUUGGGCGUAAAGCGCGCGCAGGCGGUCCUUUAAGUCUGAUGUGAAAGCCCACGGCUCAACCGUGGAGGGUCAUUGGAAACUGGGGGACUUGAGUACAGAAGAGAAGAGUGGAAUUCCACGUGUAGCGGUGAAAUGCGUAGAGAUGUGGAGGAACACCAGUGGCGAAGCGACUCUUUGGUCUGUAACUGACGCUGAGGCGCGAAAGCGUGGGGGGAGCAAACAGGAUUAGAUACCCUGGUAGUCCACGCCGUAAACGAUGAGUGCUNAGUGUUANAAGGUUUCCGCC
RNAcentral lists this ribosomal RNA (449 nucleotides) under uncultured bacterium. RNAcentral describes it as "bacterial SSU rRNA". It matches the Rfam family "Bacterial small subunit ribosomal RNA", at positions 398 to 837 of the family's 1533-position model. The record is from RNAcentral.